Molecule: unclassified non-coding RNA, 3642 nt
Filed under: Neodiprion lecontei (redheaded pine sawfly)
Lineage: Eukaryota; Metazoa; Arthropoda; Insecta; Hymenoptera; Diprionidae
Description: deformed epidermal autoregulatory factor 1, transcript variant X2
Source: RNAcentral
GGUAUAGUUACCCAUCGUGCUCGGUACUACGAACGCGUUAGUCGAUGUCCAGCGACUGACAUCUAUUCGGUAUUUGGGGAAACUAAAAUAGCUUUACAUGGGCAACGGGUCGGAAAAUUUGUAUCUGGGUACGAGCAGGGCGUAUUUUGAUUACCGCGGGUCUCGAGGAAAAGUUAAAGACAAUCACGUGGGAAGUCGAUAGUCAACUGCGAGGACGAAAGUAUUGGCGCCAUUGAAGACGAGGACAGCCGAAAUGGAGGAGAAUCAAACAUCGGAAAGUGUCGCUGUGUUACCGGACAUGUCCGAACCGUUGACGAGCGAAACCGAGGAGUCGGCUGCCCUAACGGGCGAACACGAAGCCCAUCCUGUUGCUGUCACGGCCAACGUUUCCUCCGUUCCAGGGGUCGGCGUUCCCGUUUCGCUACCCGUUGGCUCGAUCAUCGGGGUAGCUAAUUCCAGCAAUGGCACCACCUUCAACGUCAUUACCUCCGACCAGCUGCAGCUACCGGGCUCGGGUCAAUUUAAGCAAAUGUUAUGCGUGGAUAAUGGAUUUAUCUGUGAACCUCGUCAUGACAAGGAUAGCGAUCCUUUACGCUGGAACGGGGAGUUGAAAGCGACGCAUAUCGUAAUCCAGAACAGUACAGAUGAAAAUGAUAGUGAUCAAAUCCAUGUCACAACAGCCAACUCGCAGCCAAUAUGCAGUUGGUCAGAGUCUGCGAACAUGGCUGUACUGCCAGUUAGGUGUAAAAACACUAAUGCAGAACUGCACAAAAGUAGAUUUGGGUCAGGGGGAAGAGGACGUUGCAUAAAACUUGGAGAUACUUGGUACACACCUAGUGAGUUUGAAGCUCUUUGUGGAAGAGCAUCGAGUAAAGACUGGAAACGUAGCAUAAGGUUUGGGGGCAGGAGUUUACAGACCUUGAUAGAUGAACAGAUAUUGAAACCACAUGCCACAUCCUGUACUUGUGCAGCCUGCUGUGACGACGAUAGCGCUACUGGCCCAGUGCGAUUGUUCACUCCUUACAAGCGUAGGAGAAGAGCGCGAGAAACCUCUGAUGGUGAGACUCCAAAUCGCAAACACAAAAGUGACAAUUCUCGAGACGGAAGUAACAAUGACGACAGUGACACUGAAGUUGUUGUACCCGAUAAGGAAAGCUGGUCUCAAUUUGUAUCAGCAGAUGGGUUGGUGGUACAACAAUCACAAGAACAGGAAACAGUUGUGCAGAGUGUGCAUCAAAUUGAAAAUGGACAAAACGAAGAUAUUUUUAAGAAGCUCGACGAAAUGUCAAAUAAGAUGUUGAAACUAGCCUAUGAAUUUAGGCAAACUCUUGCCGAAGCCAAAGAAUUGAAUAGGCAACAGAAGCGAGAGCAAGCUCUUGCUGCGCAACUCAAUGUCCGAGGUGAAGUAAUUGAAACAGUUGGUCUGCAGCCAACUUCGGAUACACACAACAAAAAAUGUGCCAACUGCAAUCGUGAAGCUUUCGCUGAGUGUUCGCUGUGUAGGCGUACGCCUUAUUGUUCUACGUUCUGCCAACGAAAAGAUUGGGCUGGUCAUCAGGUAGAAUGUGUAAGAGGCGCUGCAGAGACAGUUAUGCUGAUAGUUGAGAGUAGUAGCGGGGAUGCGAAUGCACUUUCAACAUCAGCCGGGGACCAAUAGCUAGUGUUCCUCACUCCGAUUCAUCAAAAGAAUCCUGGGAGUGAAGAAUUGGAUAUGGAAAAUUCGCCAACAGAAGAAUUAGAAACAGAUAUUAAAGUUGCCAAGUCCGAGAUGGACAAGAAAGAUAGAGAAUAGAAUAAUUAUGUUUUCGAAGGAAAAUAAUAACAAUAAUGAGCAAAGUAAUGAAAUGAUCCAGGUAUUAGCGUGUUACAUUGGUGUUAUAAAUAGAAUAGCAUAGAAUACUGAUGUCAACAUUCUUGAAUACUUGGAAUUUUGAAAAUUGAGAUCGAGAAUAUUUUGCCAAUCAAAGACAACUUGGAGUGCAACUUGUUUUUCUGCGAACGAAUUCAUACCAAAUGUUAGCUUUUAGAUAUUUUCUACACACCCAAUCUAACAAUGAUGUGGUAGGAAUAAAGAUUGUGAAAUAGUGUAAAGAAAUGAAGCAGUGAAUUUUGGUCGGACGCAAAAUGUUUGAAACACGAAGCAUCAAAAAAAUUGAGGGACUUCACCAACUUAAGGUUGUACACCUAAUUUCACAUACUUGUGAUAUAAAUGUUCAAAGAAACGUGUGAAGGUGUGAGUUCCAUGCAAUAUUUCUCUGCCGAACCAUUCAGGUAAAUCUAUAUUAUUACAAUAUUCUAAUAAGAUAAAGUUGAACAUUUUACAAAAGCCAAUACAUACCUGAAAUUUAAAGUCCUGAUUAUUUGUAAUCAUUGAGAUAAUUAUAAUAUAUGAGCUCAUCUCUAUGAGCUUUAAUUUAUUUUCAAUUUCAAGGAUGCAUUAAAUUAUUCUGCAACCACGAAUUGCAUGCAUGGUCUACCAUUUUUCAUCAAAUGUCAUUUAAUCACCAUCAUUGAUGUUUCUUAUAGAAAUGAGUGAGUAGCAAUCAUCUAUCUAAUAUAAUAAUCAUCUCACAAAAAUACCAGAUAUAGUGCUAUUAAUACAUUUCAUUAUUAUAACCAUAUAUGAAAAUCAUGAAAAGUUGGUAAUAUUGAUCAUCAAAAAAAGUAAUUAUCUAUACGUAAAACCAAGUGAUUACAGCGUUUAUAUAAAAUAACUUAUAACUUAUAUUUGAUGUGAUCGGGCUUCGAAUCCUGAGAUGAGCAUUUUUUCGUUUGAUAGUUUUAAUCGGUAUAAGGAUUAUAAUAUGCGUUGAAAUUUUUCACCACUUUCUAACUUUAUUCGCAAGUUGUAGGUAUUGUUAUUUAUGAAGAAUUAUGGAGAAUACUGCCCUCCUGGAAUACGCUAGUUGGUUCUAAUAGUUGUAUACUCGCAGAGGUUGAUUAUGGAAACGAAUCAUCAUAGUUGAUUAAAUGUGCAGUGUUACCAUCGACAUAUAGUAAUGUCGAUGAAUGUUACUAUCGGUACAUAGUAACUAAUAGUUACCAUAGUGUUUCAACCACGGUCUUACACGUUUCAACCGGUGAAUCAAGCGCUGCUUUUGUUUUUUAAAAUUUCCUAGUACCUGCUACUGGCAGAAAUCUAGAGCUAUAGGCAUGAAAAAUUUUCUUCGAAAUGUUAGAAAAUUUGAAUAUAUCAUAGCCCAUGGGUUUUAAUGCAUUUUCCGUCUAAUGUACUUUGCUAGUUAAGGGGUAUCGAACGCAAGUUCUGUAAGUAUUAGGUCGAAUAUUUUGCACUAUUGGAGCCCCACAUUCAUUUUCCAUGGAAAGGUCAAACCAUUUAUGUAACUGGAUAUAAAACAAAGAGUGAUAAAACUUUAAUAUCGGUACGUCUACAUCAAAGGUGUCAUCAAAGAGUUUACGCAGCUUUUUAUGGCUACAUAUUAUACUCAUAAAUCAUCGUGAAAUUAUAUGCAUAACUCGGAUUACGUCGUUUAGCCAUCAUAAGAUGUUUUAUUUUGUACAAUAAUUAUGAAUAACUAAUAAACGAUAUCAACUCGUAAUUUUAGUAACUAAUAGUUUCCAUAGUGUUUCAACCGAUACAAAUAAGCAUUGCCUUUAUUAUUUGAAAUUCCCAAAUACCCG